Molecule: ribosomal RNA, 348 nt
Filed under: uncultured bacterium
Lineage: Bacteria
Description: partial 16S ribosomal RNA
Rfam family: Bacterial small subunit ribosomal RNA
Source: RNAcentral
CCUACGGGAGGCUGCAGUAGGGAAUUUUCGGCAAUGGGGGGAACCCUGACCGAGCAACGCCGCGUGAACGAAGAAGUUAUUCGUAAUGUAAAGUUCUUUUAACAGGGAAGAAAGAGAAAUUUGACGGUCCCUGAAGAAUAAGCUCCGGCUAACUACGUGCCAGCAGCCGCGGUAAUAAGGAGGGAGCGAGCGUUAACCGGAAUUAUUGGGCGGAAAGGGUGCGUUGAUGGCAUAGUAAGUCUUUGGUAAAAGUGCUGGGCUCAACCCAGUAGGGCAAAAGAUACUGCAAAGCUAGAGUAGGACAGAGGCAAGCGGAACGAGAAGUGUAGCGGUAAAAUGCUUAGAUAU